Molecule: ribosomal RNA, 254 nt
Filed under: uncultured bacterium
Lineage: Bacteria
Description: partial 16S ribosomal RNA
Rfam family: Bacterial small subunit ribosomal RNA
Source: RNAcentral
UACAGAGGGUGCAAGCGUUAAUCGGAAUUACUGGGCGUAAAGCGUGCGUAGUCGGUUAUUUAAGUCGGGGCGUGAAAGCCCCGGGCUCAACCUGGGAAUUGCGUUCGAUACUGGAUAGCUAGAGUUCGGCAGAGGGAAGCGGAAUUUCGGGUGUAGCGGUGAAAUGCGUAGAUAUCCGAAGGAACAUCAGUGGCGAAAGCGGCUUCCUGGACCAGAACUGACGAUCAGGCACGAAAGCGUGGGGAGCAAACAGG